Molecule: ribosomal RNA, 482 nt
Filed under: uncultured bacterium
Lineage: Bacteria
Description: partial 16S ribosomal RNA
Rfam family: Bacterial small subunit ribosomal RNA
Source: RNAcentral
AUUGAACGCUGGCGGCAUGCUUUACACAUGCAAGUCGAACGGUAACAGCACUUCGGUGGCUGACGAGUGGCGAACGGGUGAGUAAUACAUCGGAACGUGCCUAGUAGUGGGGGAUAACUACUCGAAAGAGUAGCUAAUACCGCAUGAGAUCUAAGGAUGACAGCAGGGGACCUUCGGGCCUUGCGCUACUAGAGCGGCUGAUGGCAGAUUAGGUAGUUGGUGGGAUAAAAGCUUACCAAGCCGACGAUCUGUAGCUGGUCUGAGAGGACGACCAGCCACACUGGGACUGAGACACGGCCCAGACUCCUACGGGAGGCAGCAGUGGGGAAUUUUGGACAAUGGGCGCAAGCCUGAUCCAGCAAUGCCGCGUGCAGGAUGAAGGCCUUCGGGUUGUAAACUGCUUUUGUACGGAACGAAAAGCCCUCUUCUAAUACAGGAGGGUCAUGACGGUACCGUAAGAAUAAGCACCGGCUAACUACGUG